UGGGCACAACACGGCCCUCCUCACAGAUGAGGACUUCGUCCUCCCAGUGGGGGCAAAGGACGUCUCCCAAGACCCCCGGUCAACAGCCUGCCAGCGCAUCCGCCUAAGCCAAUGUCGACCCAAUACAGAUUGGAAUUCCUACAGGAACUGCAGGACUGUGUAUCAAAGCAGCUGUACCAUUUCACACUCCUGCUAGAAGUACCUGAGGGUUUGUUUCUUCACAUCUUCACCAACAGUCUGUCUUUCCCCUAGGUGAUCCUGAAGUCCCAUCAUUAGCCUCAGCCCUUCUGGACCACCAUGAAAAGUCUGUCAUCCAUUUCUGCCUAACCACAGCUCUGCAACUUGGGAGAAAUUCAAGAGGACACACCAGAAACAAUGAGCCUGUUCUUACAGCAAUCUGAGAGAAGCUGGGCUCACAUGGUCCUUCCUAUCCUGAUAUGUCCCAGUGUCUGGGAGGUUUUCUUGGAUUCAAGAGGAAUCUCCCACAUCUGACACUCAUCUUGGCAGUAAGCACACCACAGCCUUCCUGCACCUAGGACCACCAGAUAACCCCUCAGCACUACACUUGGAAACUGCUUUCAACGGUAAAAUUGCCCCCCAAAGCAGAAAAAUGUGAGAAACGGUGGCACUUAGGAGAAUGUAAAAAGACAUUUGUUCACAGUUUCUAAGUGAAAACAAGAAGGCAGAGCAGCUGCUUUGUUUGACCUCGGCCAGGAAUGUGGCAACUCAAAGUUUUCAUCCCACUGCACAUGCGCAUGGAUGCAAAAGGCCACCAGGCUGUCAAAGAACACUGCAAUGGAGUACUGACCCUGGGGUUUCAAAUAAAUUAUAGUGAGUAGGUGACUUCCCAAAUAUGGAAUCCACACUUAAUGAGGAUCACCUGUACCUACCUGGCAAAGAUGUGAUGUCUGAGAGUUAAUAAAAAAGAAGCAUUUAGGAUGUACCCUGAAUGCAGUAAACACAGGCAAAAAUGCUACUUUCUUAUGAUUCUUAUUACCAUUGUCCCUGGGAGACUCUAGCCCUGAGUCAU
Long non-coding RNA from Canis lupus familiaris (dog), 1030 nucleotides. RefSeq lists it as uncharacterized. The transcript is spliced from 5 exons. The record is from RefSeq and is a predicted model, not a curated record. Lineage: Eukaryota; Metazoa; Chordata; Mammalia; Carnivora; Canidae.